Molecule: ribosomal RNA, 164 nt
Filed under: uncultured bacterium
Lineage: Bacteria
Description: partial 16S ribosomal RNA
Rfam family: Bacterial small subunit ribosomal RNA
Source: RNAcentral
UAGGGAAUCUUCCACAAUGGACGAAAGUCUGAUGGAACAACGCCGCGUGAGUGAAGAAGGGUUUCGGCUCGUAAAACUCUGUUGUUAAAGAAGAACAUAUCUGAGAGUAACUGUUCAGGUAUUGACGGUAUUUAACCAGAAAGCCACGGCUAACUACGUGCCGA